Molecule: ribosomal RNA, 253 nt
Filed under: uncultured bacterium
Lineage: Bacteria
Description: partial 16S ribosomal RNA
Rfam family: Bacterial small subunit ribosomal RNA
Source: RNAcentral
UACGUAGGGUGCGAGCGUUAAUCGGAAUUACUGGGCGUAAAGCGUGCGCAGGCGGUUCGUCGUGUCCGAUGUGAAAGCCCCGGGCUCAACCUGGGAAUGGCAUUGGAAACUGGCGGGCUUGAGUGUGGCAGAGGGGGGUGGAAUUCCAGGUGUAGCGGUGAAAUGCGUAGAUAUCUGGAGGAACACCGGUGGCGAAGGCGGCAUUCUGGACCGAAACUGACGCUGAUGCGCGAAAGCCAGGGGAGCAAACGGG